RNAcentral lists this ribosomal RNA (494 nucleotides) under uncultured bacterium. RNAcentral describes it as "partial 16S ribosomal RNA". It matches the Rfam family "Bacterial small subunit ribosomal RNA", at positions 28 to 507 of the family's 1533-position model. The record is from RNAcentral.
GACGAACGCUGGCGGCGUGCUUAACACAUGCAAGUCGAACGGAAAGGCCUGCUUUCCCUUGUGGAUUGCGGGUACUCGAGUGGCGAACGGGUGAGUAACACGUGAGUGAUCUGCCCCCAACUUGGGUAUAAGCCUGGGAAACUGGGUCUAAUUCCCGAUAGGACUGCAGGGUGGUGCCUGUGGUGGAAAACGAUUUUCUAGUGGUUGGGGAUGAGCUCGCGGCCUAUCAGCUUGGUGGUGGGGUAAUGGCCUACCAAGGCGGCGACGGGUAGCCGGCCUGAGAGGGUGGACGGCCACAUUGGGACUGAGAUACGGCCCAGACUCCUACGGGAGGCAGCAGUGGGGAAUAAUGCACAAGGGGCGGAAGCCUGAGGCAGCGACGCCGAGUGAGGGAUGGCGGCCUUCGGGUUGUAAACUCCUUUCGACCGCGAGGAAGCCACCUGGUUGGAAGGGUGGUGACGGUAGUGGUAGAAGAAGCACCGGCUAACUACGUG